UGAUUGACAUGCAUACAGGAUACAUACUUAGCUCUAACUAUCUUUAUCUGUGUAUGUUCACAGUUACUGCUCAGAGGACAUGCAGGUGAGUACAGUUUAUUUCAGUAUGCAUUUCUUAUUAUUCUUACAGUAGACUGUAUUAUAUGUCUAUGGUUGAUUACUACAGUUUACUCAGUUAUGUAUACUGUUAUAUUGAUUAGGAGACUGUACUAUAGGUUAUUAUUGGUAGUUAUAUGUUAUUGUACAUAUCUAUUGGUUAUCUGCUGAGUUCUUUGGACUCACACCGUUACAUUACUACUUUUCAGGUUGAGGCCGUCGGGAGAUUUCAGUCGCUAGCCCCCCCUUGUCGCGAUGAUUCUCCAUUGUCUACUUUUAUUUCCGUUCUAUGUCGUUUUAUACUUAUGAUGUGAGAUUCUUGUAUUGUGGACUUUAUGAUGAACUUUUGGGUUUGCUACUUUUGUUUUCUCCGCUGCGGAUGCUUUCAUUACUUUGCGGAUUUAAUUUCUUCGUAGUAGUGUAGGAUUUACAUAGAUCUGUGAUGAUUCCUUUAUCGUCUUUUCUUUUAGUAAUUUUUAUUGACAGGCAGAGGCUGAAUAUUAAACUGCAUUGAUUGAUUAUAUAAAUUGCGUGGUUUGUCUAUUAUUUGUAUUGUAUUGUAUUGUAUUGUUCCGGUCGUGUGGGCCGAGGUAUGAAUAUAUGUAUCUUAGGAUUCAUAUUAUCAUCUGUACAGGGGAGAUGUUGCCGAAAUUUAAUCGGCAAGGACUACCUGUGGCAUGACAAUAUUUUUGGUAUCAGAGCUCAGUUUUUACGAGUUUUGCGAGUUUAUCUGGAUAUUCUUGAAUUGUACGGAUUUUCGUCGAUUUUACUAUUCGGAAUUCCGAGGUAUUUGACGAGGUUCUAUUUGGGGACUAAGCGGCGAUAGGACAUCUCCAGACGGCAAAUAGAUAUGACACAUACACGUAUUCCGGUACCGAGACGUGGACGCCCACGUAAGAGGGCGAUAGAUUCUCCGGAGACAGAGUAUUCAUAGAGGUCUGCUAGAGUCGAGCCUGUCCGUCAGGGGCAGACUCCUCAGGACAUUGUGGGCACAUCUGCUUAUCAGACCCCGAUAGUUCCGGCUCGAAGAAAAUCCACCACCGUCCACAAAUCUAUGCCGCCAGUCGAUGACGACGAUUGGGAAGAAAAGAUUAUUCCCCAGAGUUGGCAGAGAGAACGUGGAGGAGGCGAUCGAGACAGGGAUUGAUUUGAGGAAGGGUAACGGGAUAAACCAAGGAACGAUAUAUAAAAACCCGAUUCAUCUCCCGGUUCAAUGUAAUCUCUUCGAAGACGGGGAAAAGAACAAAUAGGUCAUCUGAGUGUUAAAUCAAUCGGGACCGUUGCACUAUCAAGGAUAGCUCCUUGACGCCCGGUACGGUACAGUGGCAAAAUGUUAAAUGGAUUUAGAGUAUCACGAUUGAAAAUUGGAGCAAGACAUUUUAAAUUUUCGUGGAGAUCGGUUCCUGAGUGGUUUACCUUCAGGAUUAGUCGAAUUGAUAAGGAUUUGAUAUUUAGGUUAACAAAAACAUGGAUAGCACCUUGACACGAUCUGAUUCGAGUCUUAGAUUAUCUCUCAUGGGCAGUGAAUAGACUCAAUGGACCACGCCUUGUGACUCGCGAUAAUCGGAAAACGAUGCCAGUUGGCUUUCCAUUUUUGUAAAUCGUUAUUGGUCGUUCACAUGGCGAAGGCGAGGAGAGCAAUCCCUAGCCGACGCAAUUUUAUUGCUUUCCGCUCACUUAUCCCACUUCCUCAGUCGCCGUUGCUCCACUCCUGCUCGUCUCCUUCGAGUCUUAUCAAUCGUACCUAUUGAGGGAGGUAAAUAUAGAUACAUAAUUGAAAGUAUAUAGCAGAAAUGUUAACCCUAGACCGUGACACUCCGAGAAUCAAAUCCUGGAUCUUUCGGCCACAAGACCAUCCGCCUCCAACUGUGCUAUGCCCCGGGGACAAGUUUUACCCAUACUAGCUAUUAAAGAGUGUGCUUAUCUAUGUUAGUGGCCAUGGCUGAGAGCUCUGGGCCUUUUCGUAAGCAUCCGAUUAACCUUAUCUGUUUCAGACCUACCCUCAAUUAUACCAUUUGUUGUGACCCAAUGAGGGAUAAUCAACGAGGUUAAUUGGGUUUACCAUUUGUUGUGACCCAAUAAUAUUCACAUAUCUCUACAAUAAUAUGAUAUUAACUAUUUUAGAUCUAAGCUUUCAUAAUUUUACUCUUGUACUGUAUUUAAAAAAUCUCAUGCCAAUAAAAAUAUCAUACAUCCUUAUAAACUUGUAAGCUUUUUAUAGCACGAGAAGAUAUAACUUCUCGUGCGCCGGAAUCCUUGGGUUCACCUUCCCCAAGGGUUAUAGUGUUGAUCGGGGCGACGAGUGGGACACGGGGACAAGUGAUAUUGGGGACAGGAGAUUUAAAGUUCUUUAUGGCUGUGAUUCCUGACUUGGCCACGACCUCAUGCCGGCUACAACUCCUGGGUAGAUCUAAAUUCGUGAUGACUUGAGGUAAUACAUUGACUGACUCAUGGCCUAGGAGUGACCUCAUGUCAGUUUCAUGGCUAAAACCGAAGCACGUACGAGGCUGCAAUCCACGUUCGGAUCGCGGGACUAGAACAUUAGACAAUCAUCCAAGUAUUUCAAUGCAAAAACGAGGUCCAUUGAGUCUAUUCACUGCCCAUGAGAGAUAAUCUAAGACUCUAAUCAGAUCGUGUCAAGGUGCUAUCCAUGUUUUUAUUAACAUAAAUAUCAAAUCCUUACCAAUUCGAUUAAUCCUGAAGGUAAACCACUCAGGAACCGAUCUCCACGAAAAUUUAAAAUUUGUCUUGCUCCAAUUUUCAAUCGUGAUACUCUAAAUCCAUCUAACGUUUUGCCACUGUACCGUACCGGGCGUCAAGGAGUUAUUCUUGAUAGUGCAACGGUCCCGAUUGAUUUAACACUCAGAUGACCUAUUUGUUCUUUUCCCCGUCUUCUAAGAGAUUACAUUGAACCGGGAGAUGAACCGGGUUUCUAUAUAUCGUUCCUUGAUUUAUCCCUUAACCCUUCCUCGAAUCGAUCCCUGUCUCGAUUGCCUCCUCCAUGUUCUCUCUUCCAGCUCCGGCGAGAAUCUUUUCUUCCCGAUCGUCGUCAUCGACUGACGGCAUAGAUUUAUGGACGGUGGUGGAUUUUCUUCGAGGCGGAUCUCCUUCCUCCUCCGUCGAAAUCUUCUGCCACAAGGUCCAUUGCGGCUUCUUCCUUUUGUUCGAUUAGCUAGAUCCUUCUUUGUCUGUGCCGUACUUGAGUAAAGGUCCUGGUUACAAUUCUACCUGCGUGUUACAUCAUGUGAAAUCUUCUGAAUUUAAAUUAUUGAAUUUUAUUUUGUGUUUUUGUGAUUCAAGGAAGUAAUAUUUUCUUAUGCUGUCAGAUUUUUGAUAUUAUCACUUAAGCAUUGUUGGUUGAUGAGUGUUAGCAAUUAACCCUGGUUGUUUGGAGGAACUAAUGCUUAGCAAUCAACCCUGGUUGUUUGAAGGGUAUUAGCCCAAAACAAGCAUUGAGAGUGAAUGCUUCAUUGGAAGAUUAUAAAGGGAAAGAAAACAUUUAGGAUUAUAUGUGCUUGAUAUUAUUGCUUAAAAACAUUAACCAAAACUGUAGCUAUGACAUGAUGAAUUCUUUAAAUAAAAAGAUUAAAAUAUAAUAAGAUUUAAUAGUAUAAAUGCAAUGUAAUUAUUAAGGAUUCACUUCUUCUUUACUAUUGACUUUGAGCCUAAGUUAGCUGUUGACAGGGUAGAAACGCAGAUAAUAGUUGAUAAUUUUACACUUGGAUAGGACACGCAAGGACUUUACUUACUACUGGGAUUGUUUUUGGCAACACUUGCUAUUGGGAUUUAGGAGCAUGUACCAAUGGGAUGGAACAUUGUCUCCAAGUGAGUUUGAUAUUUCUGUUGCUGAUCUUUGUGAGAGAUGGAGAGAAGUUGACGCUUCUCUUCCUCAUGGGUUUGGCUACCUGAUCGUGCACUAGGUGCUUUGUCAUGCGAUGUGGCAGCAGGAUACCUAGCAAUCGAAAAUAUUUAUCAUCAAAAUGCAAGUGAGGAAGGAAGUUGCGAGGAAAGCAUAUCCAGGGACGAAGAGCCUUUUGAUGAGGCUACCUUGGUUUCAAGUAACAAAAAUGACAUGCAUAUCUAUGAUUACCACAUACUCUACAGCUUCACUUUCAGGGUUCCUGUUCUUUAUUUCCGUGGAUAUCAAUCUGAUGGUUGUCCUUUGAAGUUAGUUGACAUCGAGAAAGACCUGCCUGCUUACUCUCUCAAACUACUUAGGGAAUCAAAAUGGGCAUUCAUCACCCAGGAGGAUCAUCCUUACCUCCAUCGACCAUGGUAUACUUUACAUCCCUGUGGUACAGGUGAUUGGAUGAAGUUUUUGCUUUGCAGUGAUGCUCCAAAUAAGAUCCCUGCUCUUCAUGGCUAUUUAUCUGCGUGGCUAUCAGUCAUAGGUCAGGUUGUUGGGUUGAGAAUUCCUAUUGGGUUAUUUAAAUCAGUGUAGAUGGUCGAUGGCUAUGACUGACAAAAACUUUGUAAUUUCACAAAAGCUUAUUAAUGCUAAAUUUUCACAUCUCCCUCGUAA
Zingiber officinale is the source of this 4618-nucleotide RNA transcript. It is a transcript of the gene named ubiquitin-like-conjugating enzyme ATG10, with no coding region annotated. NCBI's taxonomy places the organism in Eukaryota, Viridiplantae, Streptophyta, Magnoliopsida, Zingiberales, Zingiberaceae. The transcript has 8 exons. The record is from RefSeq and is a predicted model, not a curated record.